This 500-nucleotide ribosomal RNA is filed under the name uncultured bacterium. RNAcentral's name for it is "partial 16S ribosomal RNA". It matches the Rfam family "Bacterial small subunit ribosomal RNA", at positions 30 to 523 of the family's 1533-position model. The record is from RNAcentral.
AUUGAACGCUGGCGGCAUGCCUUACACAUGCAAGUCGAACGGCAGCACGGGAGCAAUCCUGGUGGCGAGUGGCGAACGGGUGAGUAAUAUAUCGGAACGUGCCCAGUCGUGGGGGAUAACGUAGCGAAAGCUACGCUAAUACCGCAUACGAUCUACGGAUGAAAGCGGGGGAUCGCAAGACCUCGCGCGAUUGGAGCGGCCGAUAUCAGAUUAGCUAGUUGGUGAGGUAAAGGCUCACCAAGGCGACGAUCUGUAGCUGGUCUGAGAGGACGCCCAGCCACACUGGAACUGAGACACGGUCCAGACUCCUACGGGAGGCAGCAGUGGGGAAUUUUGGACAAUGGGCGCAAGCCUGAUCCAGCAAUGCCGCGUGCAGGAUGAAGGCCUUCGGGUUGUAAACUGCUUUUGUACAGAACGAAACGGUCCUUUCUAAUACAAGGGGCUAAUGACGGUACUGUAAGAAUAAGCACCGGCUAACUACGUGCCAGCAGCCGCGGUAA